GGCUUUGAAACAGAAAGAGUUGUUUUUACAGACAUUCAUUAAUAGGUGUGGUGUAGCAAAGAAACAGAAGUCAGUGCAGUACGAAGUUGUUGUUGUUGGUGUAAAAUCGAAUACAAAGAAAAUAAAAGUUGAAAAUGAAAUGGGUGAUGAAGAUGAUGAUGUUCUUGUUACAGCAGUGGAAGAGGCAAGUUGAAAUGUAGAAGAAAUUGGUGGAAAUGGAAACAGAGAAAAAAAGGAGAUUUUUUAUCAGCAGGAGAAGAAAAGUGUAGUGAAAAAGGAAAUGGCUGAUAAUGAUGAUGGUGUUAUUAUUGAAGCAAUGAAAGGUGGAAGUGGCAUCAGUGAAGAAAUUGGUGUUGAAGCAAGCAGUCGAAAGGAGGAGAAGAGUUGUCAGGAGGACAAAAAAAGAAAACAUUAAGAUUUCGA
RNAcentral lists this long non-coding RNA (423 nucleotides) under Mytilus galloprovincialis (Mediterranean mussel). Lineage: Eukaryota; Metazoa; Mollusca; Bivalvia; Mytilida; Mytilidae. The record is from RNAcentral.